This 253-nucleotide ribosomal RNA is filed under the name uncultured bacterium. RNAcentral describes it as "partial 16S ribosomal RNA". It matches the Rfam family "Bacterial small subunit ribosomal RNA", at positions 524 to 776 of the family's 1533-position model. The record is from RNAcentral.
UACAGGGGGGGCAAGCGUUGUUCGGAAUUACUGGGCGUAAAGGGCUCGUAGGCGGCCAACUAAGUCAGACGUGAAAUCCCCAGGCUCAACCUUGGAACUGCGUCUGAUACUGGAUGGCUUGAAUUCGGGAGAGGGAUGCAGAAUUCCAGGUGUAGCGGUGAAAUGCGUAGAUAUCUGGAGGAAUACCGGUGGCGAAGGCGGCAUCCUGGACCGACAUUGACGCUGAGGAGCGAAAGCUAGGGGAGCAAACGGG